CCGAGUUUACAACUCCCAAACCCCAUGUGAACCUUACCUCUCUGUUGCCUCGGCGGGACACGCCCCGGGCGCCCGGCCCCGCGCCGGCCCCGGACCCAGGCGCCCGCCGGAGGACCCAAACAAUUCUGUUUCUACCAGCGGAUUCUUCUGAGUGGCUAUAAGCAACAAAUAAAUCA
Molecule: unclassified non-coding RNA, 176 nt
Filed under: uncultured Hypomyces
Lineage: Eukaryota; Fungi; Ascomycota; Sordariomycetes; Hypocreales; Hypocreaceae
Description: sequence contains ITS1
Source: RNAcentral